GGAAUGGAUGUUUUAACAUCCAAUGAAGAUUUAGAAAAAAUUAAAUU
Molecule: non-coding RNA, 47 nt
Organism: Solenopsis invicta (red fire ant)
Lineage: Eukaryota; Metazoa; Arthropoda; Insecta; Hymenoptera; Formicidae
Source: Rfam